Molecule: long non-coding RNA, 531 nt
Filed under: Populus tremula
Lineage: Eukaryota; Viridiplantae; Streptophyta; Magnoliopsida; Malpighiales; Salicaceae
Description: long non-coding RNA (PTRE_LNC002579)
Source: RNAcentral
CACACAUCUCUUUUGUUAUUUAUUUUCUUCUUUUUUCUUUUACAUUCACAUAUUACAAAUUUAAAAUAAAUAAACAAAAAUUACAUUAAAACUUUAAAAUUUACAAAAUGGCCCCUAAAAACUCCAGAAAUUGCAGGGAAGGACUCCUGGGGGCUGCGUGAACAGUUCCGGCGCGUGGAUCCACGCGCCGCCACAAGAAAACCCAACAGCAAGGGGGCUGGAUCGACUCCCUCUUCUCAGCCUCCCAACGCCGGCGGUGAGGACCGCCGUUACCUACAAUAACAGAAAAAGCACAACACAGUCGAUUUUAAUUUUUGUCUUUGUUCUAAAAUCUGCUUCGGUUCCUUUUUUUGGCAGAUCGGCUUCUGUCUUUUCUUCUUGGCAGAUCGGCUUCGGUUUUCUUCUCUUCUCUUUUGGUGGCCGCCGAUGACUGGGAAGCUGCUGCGGUUGAUGGAGUGGACGGCGCUGAUGGGAUGGACCGACGCUGCUGCUGAGGCGAGGUUGAUGGCGGCGUUGAGGCGGAGGAAUGGA